AGUUUGAUUCUGGCUCAGGAUGAACGCUGGCGGCGUGCCUAACACAUGCAAGUCGAACGAAGCAUACGGACUGGAGAUUCGUCGAAGGACUGUAUGACUUAGUGGCGGACGGGUGAGUAAUGUAUGAGCAACCUGCCUUUCAGAGGGGGACAACAGUUGGAAACGACUGCUAAUACCGCGUAACGUAUCGUGAGGGCAUCCUCGUGAUACCAAAGGAGCAAUCCGCUGAAAGAUGGGCUCAUAUCUGAUUAGCUUGUUGGCGGGGUAACGGCCCACCAAGGCGACGAUCAGUAGCCGGACUGAGAGGUUGAACGGCCACAUUGGGACUGAGAUACGGCCCAGACUCCUACGGGAGGCAGCAGUGGGGAAUAUUGGGCAAUGGGCGAAAGCCUGACCCAAGCAACGCCGCGUGAAGGAAGAAGGUCUUCGGAUUGUAAACUUCUUUUAUGAGGGACGAAGGACGUGACGGUACCUCAUGAAUAAGCCACGGCUAACUACGUGCCAGCAGCUGC
RNAcentral lists this ribosomal RNA (512 nucleotides) under uncultured bacterium. Its description in RNAcentral is "bacterial SSU rRNA". It matches the Rfam family "Bacterial small subunit ribosomal RNA", at positions 10 to 518 of the family's 1533-position model. The record is from RNAcentral.